GCCCCCAUAGCUCAGUAGGUAGAGCGACGGACUGUUAAUCCGUAGGUCGCAGGUUCGAGUCCUGCUGGGGGCGCCA
This 76-nucleotide transfer RNA is filed under the name Methanothermococcus okinawensis. Its description in RNAcentral is "tRNA-Asn". It matches the Rfam family "tRNA". From Rfam's summary of the family: Transfer RNA (tRNA) molecules are approximately 80 nucleotides in length. Their secondary structure includes four short double-helical elements and three loops (D, anti-codon, and T loops). Further hydrogen bonds mediate the characteristic L-shaped molecular structure. tRNAs have two regions of fundamental functional importance: the anti-codon, which is responsible for specific mRNA codon recognition, and the 3' end, to which the tRNAs corresponding amino acid is attached (by aminoacyl-tRNA synthetases). tRNAs cope with the degeneracy of the genetic code in two manners: having more than one tRNA (with a specific anti-codon) for a particular amino acid; and 'wobble' base-pairing, i.e. permitting non-standard base-pairing at the 3rd anti-codon position. The record is from RNAcentral. Lineage: Archaea; Methanobacteriati; Methanobacteriota; Methanococci; Methanococcales; Methanococcaceae. RNAcentral also lists the same sequence under 5 other names.